Molecule: long non-coding RNA, 430 nt
Filed under: Mus musculus (house mouse)
Lineage: Eukaryota; Metazoa; Chordata; Mammalia; Rodentia; Muridae
Description: alncRNA-EC30
Source: RNAcentral
CUGCGGAAUUGAUUGUCUACAUUAUUUGCGGACCUGGCCAAAAAAAAAAAAAAAAAAACCGAGCAGGAAGGGACUUCCUGAAGAAAGACGUCUAAGGGGAAAUUCAUCAGCAUCCGAUGACAUGAUUGUGAGCCACGUACUGUUGAUCUUUCAUUGGCUACAAAUCUGUUUUUAAGCCACGCAUGGUGGCACACGCCGUUAAUCCUAGCCCUCAGAAAGGCAGAGACGGUGGAUUAUGUGAGUGCCAGGCCAGCCUGAUCUACGUAGGGAAUUACAGGACACCCAGGGUUCAAAAACAAAACAAAACCAAAAACAACAAAGAACCCACAAACAAGAACCCUGUCAACCCAGCUAACAUCGCUUAAGGGAGUAAAACGAGGUUCUGCAGAUCCAUCAGACUGUCAAGCUUAGCAGCAGGCUCUUGUACCCC